RNAcentral lists this ribosomal RNA (448 nucleotides) under uncultured bacterium. RNAcentral's name for it is "bacterial SSU rRNA". It matches the Rfam family "Bacterial small subunit ribosomal RNA", at positions 330 to 792 of the family's 1533-position model. The record is from RNAcentral.
ACCAGACUCCUACGGGAGGCAGCAGUGGGGGAUAUUGCACAAUGGGGGGAACCCUGAUGCAGCGACGCCGCGUGAGUGAAGACGGCAUUUGGGUUGUAAAGCUCUGUCAAUCGGGACGAAGAAGAUGACGGUACCGAUGAAGGGAGCUCCGGCUAACUACGUGCCAGCAGCCGCGGUAAUACGUAGGGAGCAAGCGUUGUCCGGAAUUACUGGGUGUAAAGGGAGCGUAGGCGGGAAUGCAAGUUGGAAGUGAAAGGUAGGGGCUCAACCCAUGAACUGCUUUCAAAACUGUAUUUCUUGAGUGAAGUAGAGGCAGGCGGAAUUCCUAGUGUAGCGGUGAAAUGCGUAGAUAUUAGGAGGAACACCAGUGGCGAAGGCGGCCUGCUGGGCUUUAACUGACGCUGAGGCUCGAAAUCGUGGGUAGCAAACAGGAUUAGAUACCCGUGUA